RNAcentral lists this ribosomal RNA (265 nucleotides) under uncultured bacterium. Its description in RNAcentral is "partial 16S ribosomal RNA". It matches the Rfam family "Bacterial small subunit ribosomal RNA", at positions 793 to 1055 of the family's 1533-position model. The record is from RNAcentral.
GUCCACGCCCUAAACGAUGUCAACUAGGUGUUGGGAAAGGAGACUUUCUUAGUACCGCAGCUAACGCGUGAAGUUGACCGCCUGGGGAGUACGGUCGCAAGAUUAAAACUCAAAGGAAUUGACGGGGACCCGCACAAGCGGUGGAUGAUGUGGAUUAAUUCGAUGCAACGCGAAAACCUUACCUACCCUUGACAUGCCAGGAAUCCUUGAGAGAUUAGGGAGUGCCCGAAAGGGAGCCUGGACACAGGUGCUGCAUGGCUGUCGU